This 1399-nucleotide ribosomal RNA is filed under the name metagenome. Its description in RNAcentral is "bacterial LSU rRNA". It matches the Rfam family "Bacterial large subunit ribosomal RNA", at positions 1505 to 2925 of the family's 2925-position model. The record is from RNAcentral.
CCCGCGUGCAAGCGAAGGAGGAGUCACAUAGGAAAAACCGUGUGGCAAUCCAGAGGCGUGAUGCGGACCGAACUAAAGUAGGGAAGUGUGUGAGCCAUGAAUCAAGAAAAGCCGCUAUUGUUUUUAAGAUACCCGUACCGUAAACCGACACAGGUGGAUGAGGAGAGAAUCCUAAGGCCGGCGGAAGAAGCAUUGUUAAGGAACUCGGCAAAAUGACCCCGUAACUUCGGGAGAAGGGGUGCCAACGAGAGUUGGCCGCAGAGAAUAGGCUCAAGCAACUGUUUAGCAAAAACACAGGUCUAUGCAAAACCGUAAGGUGAGGUAUAUGGGCUGACGCCUGCCCGGUGCUGGAAGGUUAAGAGGAGAGGUUAGCGUAAGCGAAGCUUUGAAUUUAAGCCCCAGUAAACGGCGGCCGUAACAAUAACGGUCCUAAGGUAGCGAAAUUCCUUGUCGGGUAAGUUCCGACCCGCACGAAAGGCGUAAUGAUUUGAGCGCUGUCUCGACAAUGCAUCCGGUGAAAUUGAAGUACCAGUGAAGAUGCUGGUUACCCGCGCCAGGACGGAAAGACCCCAUGGAGCUUUACUCCAGUUUGGUACUGGGGUCCGGCAGUGCAUGUACAGGAUAGGUGGGAGGCUUUGAACCUGGAACGCCAGUUUCAGGGGAGCCGAUGUUGGGAUACCACCCUUGUGCUGCUGGGCUUCUAACCAGCGGCCUUUAUCAGGCCGGGGGACAAUGCCAGACGGGGAGUUUGACUGGGGCGGUCGCCUCCGAAAGGGUAUCGGAGGCGCUCAAAGGUUCCCUCAGAAUGGUCGGAAACCAUUCGAAGAGUGCAAAGGCAGAAGGGAGCUUGACUGCGACACCGACGGGUGGAGCAGGUACGAAAGUAGGACUUAGUGAUCCGGUGGUAUUAAGUGGGAAUGCCAUCGCUCAACGGAUAAAAGCUACCCUGGGAUAACAGGCUUAUCACUCCCAAGAGUUCACAUCGACGGAGUGGUUUGGCACCUCGAUGUCGGCUCAUCGCAUCCUGGGGCUGUAGUAGGUCCCAAGGGUUGGGCUGUUCGCCCAUUAAAGCGGUACGCGAGCUGGGUUCAGAACGUCGUGAGACAGUUCGGUCCCUAUCCGGCGUGGGCGUAGGAUAUUUGAGAGGAGCUGUCCUUAGUACGAGAGGACCGGGAUGGACUGACCUCUGGUGUACCGGUUGAACCGCCAGGUUCACGGCCGGGUAGCCAAGUCGGGAAGGGAUAAACGCUGAAGGCAUCUAAGCGUGAAGCCCCCCUCAAGAUGAGAUAUCCCAUUCGAAAGAAGUAAGACCCCUUGAAGACGACGAGGUAGAUAGGGCAGGGGUGGAAGUGCCGUAAGGCAUGGAGCUGACUGUUACUAAUCGGUCGAGGGCUUGACC